Molecule: long non-coding RNA, 378 nt
Filed under: Nicotiana benthamiana
Lineage: Eukaryota; Viridiplantae; Streptophyta; Magnoliopsida; Solanales; Solanaceae
Description: long non-coding RNA (NBEN_LNC041745)
Source: RNAcentral
UCUUCUUCGUUAGUUGAUCCUCCAGAAAUUUCAGAAAAUCGCGAGCUACUGAACUCGGUGGAAUGAUCAAGUGACUUUGAGAAAGAGAUACUGCGAAAUGAAUCCUCGAGGGGCCUUGAGAGAAGCUCUGGUUGGCCAGGCACAGAACCACCAGCAUCAAGUGCUGAGGCGGGAAUUGAGUGCAUGACGCAGUGCAUUCUCCGCGGACCCCUUGUUCCAAGCACAUUCAGCUCGUAUGUGCUGGCCAGGCACAGAGCCACAAGCAUCAAGUGCUGAGGCGGGAAUUGAGUGCAUGAUACAGUGCAUUCUCCGCGGACCCCGUGUUCCAAGCACAUUCAGCUCGUAUGUGAUCUGGGAUAUGACAUAGCUUCCAGUUGG